RNAcentral lists this ribosomal RNA (241 nucleotides) under Litocranius walleri (gerenuk). RNAcentral describes it as "partial 12S ribosomal RNA". The record is from RNAcentral. Lineage: Eukaryota; Metazoa; Chordata; Mammalia; Artiodactyla; Bovidae.
CGGCAACAGCCUAAAACUCAAAGGACUUGGCGGUGCUUUAUACCCCUCUAGAGGAGCCUGUUCUAUAAUGGGUAAACCCCAAUAAACCUCACCAAUCCUUGCUAAUACAGUCUAUAUACCGCCAUCUUCAGCAAACCCUAAAAAGGAAUAAAAGUAAGCACAAUUAUAAGACAUAAAAACGUUAGGUCAAGGUGUAACCUAUGGAAUGGGAAGAAAUGGGCUACAUUUUCUAUCUCAAGAA